GCUGAAACAUCAUAAUAUGUGAUUAUUUGGAGUUUUUUAGUUUCUUAUGUGUACAAAAAUUAACGCCCAAUGAUUUAGUUCUGAUUGUUGCAUUCCAAGGUAGAAUUCGACUACAUUAAUCAAUUCACCGAAAUUGCCUCUAUAAAAUAUGGAAUGUGGUUCGGAGAAAUUUCAGGUGCUGGACUGCCAUCUCUGCUGCUGCUACUACUAGAAGCAGAAGAUUCUGAGUCACUAGAACUAGAACCUGAACUGUCGGAAGAGGAUCUCGAAGAUCUUCGUUUUCCCCGUGCUCUUGCUAAGGCAG
Molecule: long non-coding RNA, 304 nt
Organism: Harmonia axyridis
Lineage: Eukaryota; Metazoa; Arthropoda; Insecta; Coleoptera; Coccinellidae
Exons: 3
Source: RefSeq, a predicted model, not a curated record